CUUAAUGACUAGUCAUUGAUUUAGGAAGUUGUCCUGGAGCACCAAGUCUGGUAAGUUUUUAUGAAUUUGGAAUUACUUUAUAUAUUAUCAUAUUACCAAAGGGGAAAGCGCCUUAGAUAUGAGUGUUUUAAAUGUGUUUUCAUCUUUUCAUAGGAAUAUUAGAAGAAUAUGCUUCUCACUUUACAAAGUAGAAUGCCUAAUGUACUACCAAAAUAAAAUGAAAAGAAUGGACAGAAGAAAAGUAUCAAAUCAGAGAAGAGAGUUCAGCUCAUAUAAUGUUAAGAAUGUCAGUGAAGCAAGCUGUUUGUGGCCUAUGAAAUCUUAGAGGACUACACACUAUACUGAAAAUGCCUAGUGGAAAAAAGAGGCCAUGACUAAAUGAUUAAGAAUCCACAGCAGAGACACUUUUCAAAAGAAGACAUACAAGUGGCCAACAAACAAAUGAAAAGAUGCUCAACAUCACUAAUCAUCAGAGAAAUGCAAAUCAAAGCCACAAUGUGAAACCAUCUUAUACCAAUCAGAAUGACUGUUAUUAGAAAGUACAAAACAACAGAUGCUGGCAAGGAUGUGGAGAAAAGGGAAGGUUAAUACAGGAUUGAUGGUAAGGUAAAUUAGUUCUGACACUAUGCAGAGCAGUUUUGAUUCCUCAAAAAGACAAAAUAGAACUACCAUUCAACCCAGUAAUCCCAUUCCUGGAUAUAUAUUGAAAAGAAAAUAAAUUGUGCUACCAAAAAAAGACACAUGCACUUGUAUGUUCAUUUUAGCACUAUUCACAAUAGCAAAAACAUAAAAUCAACCUAGGUGCCCAUCAAAAGUGGAUUAGAUAAAGAAAAUACAGUACAUAUAUGUCAUAGGAUACUAUGCAGUCAUAAAAAGAAUGAAAUGUAUUUUGCAACAACAAGGAUGGAGGCCAUUAUCCUAAGUUAAUUAAUGCAGGAACAGGAAACUAAAUACCAUGUGUUCACACUUACAAGUGAGAGCUAAACAUUGGGUACUCAUGGACAUAAAGAUGGCAACAACAGACACUGGGGACUAUCAGAG
This 1041-nucleotide long non-coding RNA is filed under the name Macaca mulatta (Rhesus monkey). RNAcentral describes it as "lncRNA (ENSMMUG00000062932.1)". The record is from RNAcentral. Lineage: Eukaryota; Metazoa; Chordata; Mammalia; Primates; Cercopithecidae.